Molecule: ribosomal RNA, 773 nt
Filed under: uncultured Neocallimastigales
Lineage: Eukaryota; Fungi; Neocallimastigomycota; Neocallimastigomycetes; Neocallimastigales
Description: partial large subunit ribosomal RNA
Rfam family: Eukaryotic large subunit ribosomal RNA
Source: RNAcentral
UAUGUGAUCGUCUCUCGCAUAUCAAUAAGCGGAGGAAAAGAAACUAACAAGGAUUCCCCUAGUAACGGCGAGUGAAGCGGGAAGAGCUCGAAUUUGAAAUCUUAAAGGGUUUCCCUUUACGAAUUGUAGUUUAAAGAAGUGUUUUCUGUUGAGGUUUUGGUAAAAGUUCUUUGGAAUAGGACAUCAUAGAGGGUGAGAAUCCCGUAUUUGACCUUUACUUUCAACUUUGUGAUACACUUUCAAAGAGUCGGAUUGUUUGGGAAUGCAGUCCAAAAUGGGUGGUAAAUUUCAUCUAAAGCUAAAUAUUGGCGAGAGACCGAUAGCGAACAAGUACCGUGAGGGAAAGAUGAAAAGAACUUUGAAAAGAGAGUUAAACAGUACGUGAAAUUGUCAAAAGGGAAGCGUUUGACACCAGUGUUGUUUUUCUGAAAAUCAAUUAAAGAACUGUUUAUGCUAAGCUGUUUAGACUUUAUCAGCUAUCUGUUUAGUUUUGAGCUUUUCUUUAAUGCACUUUUCAGUUAACAAGUCAACAUCAAUUUCUUUUGCUGUAAAAAAGCUUGAGGAAGGUGGCUUGAGAUUCGUCUUAAGUGUUUAUAGCCUCUUGCCUAUGCAGUCGGAGAGAUUGAGGUCUGCAGCGUAGAUCCUUCGGGGCUAAAUGCAUUUGUGCUAAGUUAUAGCAUUUUAUAGACAACUUGUUGACUAUGAUUUGUCUUGUAGCUUACUCGCUUAUGUUAUUUUACCUACGCUUAGGAUGUUGAGUAGCGACAUACGCC